RNAcentral lists this ribosomal RNA (411 nucleotides) under Actinomycetes bacterium. RNAcentral's name for it is "Actinobacteria bacterium partial 16S ribosomal RNA". It matches the Rfam family "Bacterial small subunit ribosomal RNA", at positions 355 to 776 of the family's 1533-position model. Lineage: Bacteria; Bacillati; Actinomycetota; Actinomycetes. The record is from RNAcentral.
UGGGGAAUUUUGCACAAUGGGCGCAAGCCUGCUGCAGCGACGCCGCGUGGGGGAUGACGGCCUUCGGGUUGUAAACUCCUUUCGCUAGGGACGAAGCUUUUUGUGACGGUACCUAGAUAAGAAGCACCGGCUAACUACGUGCCAGCAGCCGCGGUAAUACGUAGGGUGCGAGCGUUGUCCGGAAUUACUGGGCGUAAAGGGCUCGUAGGUGGUUUGUCGCGUCGUCUGUGAAAUUCCGGGGCUUAACUCCGGGCGUGCAGGCGAUACGGGCAUAACUUGAGUACUGUAGGGGUAACUGGGAUUCCUGGUGUAGCGGUGAAAUGCGCAGAUAUCAGGAGGAACACCGAUGGCGAAGGCAGGUUACUGGGCAGUUACUGACGCUGAGGAGCGAAAGCAUGGGUAGCGAACAGG